GACGAACGCUGGCGGCGUGCUUAACACAUGCAAGUCGAACGAAGAGCGAUGGAAGCUUGCUUCUAUCAAUCUUAGUGGCGCACGGGUGAGUAACGCGUAAUCAACCUGCCCUUCAGAGGGGGACAACAGUUGGAAACGACUGCUAAUACCGCAUACGAUCUAAUCUCGGCAUCGAGGAUAGAUGAAAGGUGGCCUCUACAUGUAAACUAUCACUGAAGGCGGAGAUUGCGUCUGAUUAGCUAGUUGGAGGGGUAACGGCCCACCAAGGCGAUGAUCAGUAGCCGGUCUGAGAGGAUGAACGGCCACAUUGGGACUGAGACACGGCCCAGACUCCUACGGGAGGCAGCAGGGGGGAAUCUUCCGCAAUGGACGAAAGGCUGACGGAGCAACGCCGCGUGAGUGAUGACGGCCGUCGGGUUGUAAAGCUCUGUUAAUCGGGACGAAAGGCCUUCUUGCGAAUAGUGAGAAGGAUUGACGGUACCGGAAUAGAAAGCCACGGCUAACUACGUG
Molecule: ribosomal RNA, 510 nt
Filed under: uncultured bacterium
Lineage: Bacteria
Description: partial 16S ribosomal RNA
Rfam family: Bacterial small subunit ribosomal RNA
Source: RNAcentral